ACGUAGGAAGCGAGCGUUAUCCGGAUUUACUGGGCGUAAAGCGUGUGUAGGCGGUUUGACAAGUUGGAUGUGAAAGCUCCUGGCUUAACUGGGAGAGGUCGUUCAAAACUGUCAGACUUGAGAGUGGUAGAGGGAGAUGGAAUUCCGGGUGUAGUGGUGAAAUGCGUAGAUAUCCGGAGGAACACCAGUGGCGAAAGCGGUCUCCUGGCCCAUUUCUGACGCUCAGACACGAAAGCUAAGGUAGCAAACGG
This 251-nucleotide ribosomal RNA is filed under the name uncultured prokaryote. RNAcentral's name for it is "partial 16S rRNA". It matches the Rfam family "Bacterial small subunit ribosomal RNA", at positions 525 to 775 of the family's 1533-position model. The record is from RNAcentral.